GCUGGGAUAGAGGCGGAAAUACUGCAUAGAUUAAAGAAGGUAAAAAACAAAAAUAAAAGGUAAGAAGUAAAUCUUCCAUGAUUUGAAAUAAAAGCAAAAAAUAAAGGGUAUUUUUGUCAUUUCACUAGCUUUGCAAAACCCUAGAUGAUGUUGAUGAUGAUGGGAAGUUGGUGACUACCAUAAAAGGCCUUGUCCCUCUUUUUGUUUCUCAAAGCUUUGGAGAGAAGAGGUGGAGGCUGGGGGUUCUCUUUGGGAGAAAGAGAGGAGACCUUUUUAGAUUUCAAGUUGGAUUCAAACAGAGAUGAUUGCCAAUCUUUCUCAAGUUCUUGGAGGAGACUGUUGAAAUUUGCAAGUUACUUUUGUUUCUGCAGUCAAUCCAGGAACUCCAACCCCUAACAAGCCUUUCAGACCCCCUGAUGCGGCACCAAACUUACGGAUCAAUGUCCUUCCCCUAGGUCUCGCUGAUCAGGUAAAGUCCGGAAUGGGGACACGACUUCCGUGUAUCAGUUGGACGUUCAACCAACCCGACCCCCGGGACACAUCUCCAUUACCAUCCACGGUCCCUGCUGGCUCACAGAGCGAACUCUUACCAUCCACGGUCCUCGUUGACUCACAGAGUAAAUUCUCACCAUCCACAGGUAUCAUUGGUUCCGUGAGUGUAUCUACUUGGAAUUGAACCCCCGAUAGUCCGUGAGGAUAUUUGUUAAUAUCCUUGUUCUCAUUAGAGAUGAAACAAAGGUGAUUGUAGAUUUUUUUUUUUUAUAAGCUCUUUUUUUUUUAUUUAAAUAUCUAAUAAUUGAAAUUAUUCAUGUUAUUCUCCUAUCUAAUUUCUUUAUGGCUCCUUUUUAGGUGUAUUUUAUAUAGCAAUAUAGAAAAAAAAGGAAAAAAAUAAUACAUAGAAAAAUUGUAUUAUUUAUAAUUUUAUAUGUAAUUGUUUUAUUGUUUUCCUUAUUUAUGAAAUCAUAAACAAAAAUCUAAGGGUUAUAAUUUGGUUUUCUAA
Molecule: long non-coding RNA, 1000 nt
Organism: Malania oleifera
Lineage: Eukaryota; Viridiplantae; Streptophyta; Magnoliopsida; Santalales; Ximeniaceae
Exons: 2
Source: RefSeq, a predicted model, not a curated record